Scophthalmus maximus (turbot) is the source of this 1626-nucleotide long non-coding RNA. RefSeq lists it as uncharacterized. The record is from RefSeq and is a predicted model, not a curated record. Lineage: Eukaryota; Metazoa; Chordata; Actinopteri; Pleuronectiformes; Scophthalmidae. The transcript has 3 exons.
CUGGGUGAUUGACGCGUCUAUAGAACCGCGAGAGCCAGUAGAAUCGACGGGCAGCCAUUUUACAUGCGACUUCCGCCUGUGUAGUCGAAGUAGGACCGACCAGGCGGAGUAAUAUCUUGAAAUGACGAGCGGUCUUUGUGCUGAGCUAACGGAAUUGGAUUUCUGGAGCAAAACACAACUUUUCCGGCAAAUACUUCGACGGUGAAAUGACCAAGGGGGCUGAAUUUUUGAUGCCAUCAUUGGGACAGGGGCUGAAGAACGGAAAGAGCUGUUCGGUGAAGUUACAGCCGCUGAAGGAGAAGAUGUUCACUCUGGCAUCGACAUCGUAGAAGGAAACUUGACCCUCCUUGUAGUCCAUGAACACCCCGACCCUGUGAACCUUCUUCCUCACAUCGAGCCACGUCUUCCUCGAGCCUCACCUCCAUGCCGCGGCUACCAUAAAACAUUCAAACGACAUUGGAUCAGAUGGGGAUUCCCUUUGAUCCUGGUCUGUGCGGAGCUCCGGGAUCUGAGCCUUUCUUCUCCUACGCAGGAACCAAUGAUAGGUUCACUGAAAGAUGAGAGGGACUCAGGGCUUCUUCCCUGUACUUUUUUCCCCCUUACCCACCCCUUCCAUCUCUUAACCACCAGUGCUCUUCUUUGCCCCUUCACCCCUGUUCCCGGACCCAUUGGACUCUCGCUUGUAGCUGCUCUUCUCUUCUCUCACCUUCAGCGCAUGAAUAAGAGAUUAUAGGAGCUCAGGGUGCUGGAGGACACGGACCUCCCUCUACUAGAAUUGAAUUCCUCCUGAGAGGUGUCUGCUCAGUUUCUGACUAAAUGUAAGUCUACAGUAAAGCCUGAACUCAGCAAUCACAUUCUCUAGCCCAAGAGAUAAUCUGUAAUACACUCUGAAGGAUGGACUGCAGGUUCAACUGAGUAAUUAGAGGUCAAUAUUAACAAAACCGCAUGAUAUUAUUAUUAUUUCAUGAUGCAUGAUGCAGCCAAUGAGUUUAAAAAUGGUUUCAAAGAAAUGAUUUCAAAGAUGGCGGACUAAACCACAACCACUGUUUUAUUCCUGUGCAAACAUUUUCAGCUGAAGUUAAUCAAGCUUCUGACAAACCUGUGUAAAGCUGUUUUCAGAAAUGAAUUCCUUUCACAUUUGACGAACCCAGCGGGAGAUUUUUUUCGAGUCAGACGUGUUCACACCAAUAAGAAAGUCUCCGGGUCAUUCUGUGGUGUCUGAGUAAAACCGCAGGAGGCAGGACAUGACGAUAAUAGUGUUUUUGUAUACAGUCAUACACACGCCCACUUGCUCGCCAGGAAUGUUCCUUCUGUAUGCUCACUCCGGGGGGUGGGGGCUGGCAGGAAAACUCCUGGAAAUUGUCCAGGUGUAUUAUUUGUGGCCAUUUGUGUUCUCGCAUACAGCCCCUCGGGAAAAUUUCCAGAAAAUGACGGGACUUCAGUGAAUGUCUGAAGCAAUCUUAGGUAUAUAUAUAAUAAAAUUUUGCUCAUAACAAGGAUUGUGCAGAUUGUCUUGUUAUGUUACAGUGUUGUGGUGGAAAAAGCUGUUGCUAUAUAUCUGACCAGUACAAACGGGUGGAAUGAAAAUGGAAAAUGAUUAUUCUUUCAAGAUCAACUGGCAUGUAG